RNAcentral lists this transfer RNA (76 nucleotides) under Pseudomonadota bacterium. RNAcentral's name for it is "Proteobacteria bacterium (freshwater metagenome) tRNA-Val". It matches the Rfam family "tRNA". Rfam says of the family: Transfer RNA (tRNA) molecules are approximately 80 nucleotides in length. Their secondary structure includes four short double-helical elements and three loops (D, anti-codon, and T loops). Lineage: Bacteria; Pseudomonadati; Pseudomonadota. RNAcentral also lists the same sequence under 4 other names. The record is from RNAcentral.
GGGCGGUUGGCGCAGCGGUUAGCGCAAAUGCUUUACACGCAUUGGGUCGGGGGUUCGAAUCCCUCACCGCCUACCA